RNAcentral lists this ribosomal RNA (253 nucleotides) under uncultured bacterium. RNAcentral describes it as "partial 16S ribosomal RNA". It matches the Rfam family "Bacterial small subunit ribosomal RNA", at positions 524 to 776 of the family's 1533-position model. The record is from RNAcentral.
UACGGGGGGGGCAAGCGUUGUUCGGAAUUACUGGGCGUAAAGGGCUCGUAGGUGGCCAACUAAGUCAGACGUGAAAUCCCUCAGCUUAACUGGGGAACUGCGUCUGAUACUGGAUGGCUUGAGAUUGGGAGAGGGAUGCGGAAUUCCAGGUGUAGCGGUGAAAUGCGUAGAUAUCUGGAGGAACACCGAUGGCGAAGGCAGCCCCCUGGGUCAAGAUUGACGCUCAUGCACGAAAGCGUGGGGAGCAAACAGG